Molecule: long non-coding RNA, 2050 nt
Filed under: Daphnia magna
Lineage: Eukaryota; Metazoa; Arthropoda; Branchiopoda; Diplostraca; Daphniidae
Description: uncharacterized LOC116932628, transcript variant X3
Source: RNAcentral
UGAUUUUAUAUAGUAAUUUUUUUCUAUUUAAAUAGAAAUUGAAUACUCUUAUGCAGUUCCUAAAAAAAAACUAAAAACAGGAUGAUCGCCAACAUAACCAAGUUUUUCUUGAAUUUCAUAAUCACAACAAAUUGAUAUGAUGGCUCCCUUUUACCUUCUAUGCCUUCUACGAUUAGUCAUUUCUCUUUUGAUUUUGAACGUCUUUCUGCAAUGACCGUUGAUAAGUUCCAUAAGUAACAUCUUAUGAGAGAUAUAUAAGCUGGAUACCAUUCUCUGUUAUCAUUUGCAAAUUGUUGACUGCAAAAUCAAACAAAAGCCAUGAAAGACAUUUAAAGGGAAAAUGCUAGGCUUGUACAUUUCACUGUCCAUCCCUGUGAUCCAAUUUCCAUUUUAACUUCUUCUCCCAAGUUCCUGGCUUACCCUGUUCUUUGCUCUAUUUUUCCCUUUGGCUACUACCUCACCAUCUAGCAUGACUUUCUCUUUCAAUGAUCACUGGUGGUAAUCGGAGUGUCUAAAGUUAGUUUUUUUUGCUAACAAAGCAAACAAGCAAAAAAGCCAACAAUCAAGACAUAACAUUGUCCAAUUUAAUUUUUUUUUUAUUGGUAGAUGCUGUAUCUAAACAUGGAUGUUGAUGGACUUGGUUUAAACAUCAGGUGACAUUAGUGGCUUUUGGUGAUCCCUUCUAGUCCACAAUUCUACACUGUUGGUCCAGUGCAAUCUCAUUCGUCUGCAGCCAAAAGCUCUUGUCCUGAUUACAAUUUUUUAGAGAGAAAGGUUAUAUGUAUACUAUAUCCAACCACCAAAGCUGAGAGCCAUUUAAAGAAAAAUAAUAAGAAGAAAGAAAUAAAACAGAUUCACAUCGAUUAUCACUGGAAACCAGUCGGUCAGGUAAAAAAAAUUUUAAAAGAGAAUUCGUCCCCCGUAAACAAAACAUCCUUUUUCCUUUUGGAAUUUCUAGAGUAGAAUUGGAUUUAAAAAAAAAAAAAAAAGAAAACGUAAAAAAUCGUCCAGUUUACACAUGUCUCUGCUGUUGUUUGAAUUUCACAUUGGCUGAUGAUGUUGUUGCGGCUGUUGUUGAUGAUGCAUGUGCUGGUUAUCGUAACCGAGUCCCAUCGGGUUGACGGCAUUACUGGAACCGCCACCUCGUUGCAACACUUCCUGAGCUUGGGGGCAAUGCGGCCUAGGCCCAGGCUCAGGUGUGUAGGUAAAGGUCAACCGUGUGGCGUAGAUGACACCGUCACUUCUCACCAACGAAAUAGGAACCUAUUCAAUUUUUUAAAUCAAUAAAAUCAACAAUUUCAAAAAAUGUACAAAAAUUCUGUUUUUGUUUUUUUACCUGUGUUGGUCCACGGACCCAUUGCCAUCCGGAACGGAAGGCUGAAAUAUCGGGCACGACGCACAGCAUCGACUCCUCACAGCGGAACAUGGUCUCUGCCUCCACGUCGCCAAACCACACUUUCAAAUUCGGUGUCAGAUUCUCGCCCAUUAAUUCCAGCAUUGCCACAUCGCCACCACCGUUCAACUAUUUAUUUUAAAAAAUAAAUAAACAAAUAAAUAAUAGUAAUAAAAUUAUCUCAAGUCCAUUUAAAAAUAAUAACAACGCAAAAGAGAUAGACAGGCAAGAAGAUGGUUAUGAAAAUAAUCAAAUGAAAUCAAAUGAAAUCAGAAAUUGGCGUUCCGCAUUGUUGGCCGCCAUCCCGUGUUGAUUGUAGUGGUCGGCUGGUGGUCAACGCUCAGCGACGGUCAACGAUAUAACAAAUCCGUGGGAAACGAAAACUAAGUAGCUGGAGUAGUAGCGGACACACACACACAGCAAAUCGCUCGCAUACUUUUCCCGUGGGAACGCAUUCGCCACCCAAAAAAUUGGAUAAUAUCACAAACUAAAAAAAAAAAACCCGAAGACGAAAGGAAAGAGGAAGGAAGGAAGAAACAUAAGUUGAAAAAAAUAAAAAAUAAAACACCUCUGUCACCAUUGCGCCUUCAUCGGCCCGAGCGUGAGAAGGUUAACGAUUCCCCCCAAAAACGAAACAACUCCGGACCAGAAAGAAAA